Molecule: transfer RNA, 67 nt
Filed under: Ennucula tenuis
Lineage: Eukaryota; Metazoa; Mollusca; Bivalvia; Nuculida; Nuculidae
Description: tRNA-Gly
Source: RNAcentral
AUGUUUAUAGUAUAAAUUGUAUAGUUGCCUUCCAAGCAAUAGGUCUAUUAAAAUAAUAGUAAACAUA